This 445-nucleotide ribosomal RNA is filed under the name uncultured bacterium. RNAcentral describes it as "partial 16S ribosomal RNA". It matches the Rfam family "Bacterial small subunit ribosomal RNA", at positions 354 to 796 of the family's 1533-position model. The record is from RNAcentral.
GUGAGGAAUAUUGGUCAAUGGGCGAGAGCCUGAACCAGCCAAGUUGCGUGAAGGAAGAAGGAUCUAUGGUUCGUAAACUUCUUUUGCAGGGGAAUAAAGUGCGGGACGUGUCCUGUUUUGUAUGUACCCUGAGAAUAAGGAUCGGCUAACUCCGUGCCAGCAGCCGCGGUAAUACGGAGGAUCCGAGCGUUAUCCGGAUUUAUUGGGUUUAAAGGGUGCGUAGGUGGUUUGAUAAGUCAGCGGUGAAAGUUUGCAGCUUAACUGUAAAAAUGCCGUUGAAACUGUCGGACUUGAGUGUAAAUGAGGUAGGCGGAAUGCGUGGUGUAGCGGUGAAAUGCAUAGAUAUCACGCAGAACUCCGAUUGCGAAGGCAGCUUACUAAGCUACAACUGACACUGAAGCACGAAAGCGUGGGGAUCAAACAGGAUUAGAUACCCUGGUAGUCC